Long non-coding RNA from Mastomys coucha (southern multimammate mouse), 713 nucleotides. RefSeq lists it as uncharacterized. NCBI's taxonomy places the organism in Eukaryota, Metazoa, Chordata, Mammalia, Rodentia, Muridae. The transcript has 2 exons. The record is from RefSeq and is a predicted model, not a curated record.
CUGAUCCUCCUGCCUCCAUCCCCUGGGUGCUGGGAUUGCUGGUGUUUGCCAACAUCCCAGUUUAUGCAGUGCAAGGGAUUGAAACCAGGGCUUCCUGCAUGUAGGGCAACACUCUUGCAGCUAAGCUGCAUUCCCAACUCCACUUCCCUCUGUUUAAAGUCCCAAGCCAGAAUCCAAGUCUUCUCCUCUUAGUGCACCAUGACCCUGGCUGGCUCAGCCAAGACUCGGUGGAACCUUUGGAGCAUGUGUUUCAAGGCUGAGUUGUAAUGAAUUUCUGAUCUCACCAGAAUGGACUGUGAUUUCCUACAGAAAUAAGCUCUUGAAUUCAAGUGGGUUCCCCUGCUCUCCCACAAAGCCUCCUGCAGUUUCCCUAGGCUGAGGAGGAGGCUGAGGAUGGAGGGCUGCAGCCUGCAUCCCUGGGCAGUGGUUGGCCUUGCUCCUUUAUGAAGAGCUGAGCUCUGGCUCCCUGUGGAUAUCAGUGUGCCAGAGACAAUGGUCCCAUCUUAGCAACAGCAGUCACUUUGAGGUUUACCUUUUGGGUCCUGCAUUAGUUUCUUAAGACUGUUGCAGAGCCUAAGCUUUUGCUCUUACUCUCACCUCUUGCCUUGCUCCCCCUUCCCUUCCCCUCUCUCCGCAUGGCCAUGGCCGCCCUCUGCUUCUUUACUCUUCUCCCUCUCUCUGCCUUUCUACGAUAAAUGCCUUAAUAACCCCCC